UAAAGCACAAAAUAGCUACGGCUGUAAAAAUAUACAGAAGAAGUGGCCGAGGUAGAUGAGGAUCAUCGGAGGCGUCUCAAAUCGGAGAGGUGAAGCAAUGGCUGGUUCAUGAGUUUGGCAAAGUUUAAUGCUUUAUUUCCAGAAAGUUUUAAGCCGAUGCUCUGCUUCAGCCUAUGGCUUCUUGAACUCAAAUGGGAGCAAUUUUAGCGUCACCGUAAUGGUGCAAUUCUACAUACAAGAGCGAUUCAGGCAAUGUUCCUAUCGGAUUGUUACGGGUCCCACGUUCAGUAAAUCUGGUACCUAUAUUAUAUAGGUUUGUAACUUUUCGUUCGUAGGGUUUGUUUUGCUUUAGAACUACUUGUCGAUUAGGGUUUGAUGUUGGUUAGGAGCUUUAUUUUCUUCUUUGAUUGUCCUUGUUGCUGGAUACCAAAUAUGAUUUGUCUUUUAAUUAGUGCAAUCUGCUAUUUAAUGUC
Humulus lupulus (European hop) is the source of this 473-nucleotide long non-coding RNA. RefSeq lists it as uncharacterized. NCBI's taxonomy places the organism in Eukaryota, Viridiplantae, Streptophyta, Magnoliopsida, Rosales, Cannabaceae. The transcript has 2 exons. The record is from RefSeq and is a predicted model, not a curated record.